RNAcentral lists this ribosomal RNA (255 nucleotides) under uncultured bacterium. RNAcentral describes it as "partial 16S ribosomal RNA". It matches the Rfam family "Bacterial small subunit ribosomal RNA", at positions 524 to 776 of the family's 1533-position model. The record is from RNAcentral.
UACGUAGGGGGGCUAGCGUUGCUCGGAAUCACUGGGCGUAAAGCGCACGUAGGCGGACUCUUAAGUCGGUGGUGAAAUCCUGGAGCUCAACUCCAGAACUGCCUUCGAUACUGAGAGUCUCGAGUCCGGGAGAGGUGAGUGGAACUGCGAGUGUAGAGGUGAAAUUCGUAGAUAUUCGUCAAGAACACCAGUGGCGAAGGCGGCUCACUGGCCCGGUACUGACGCUGAGGUGCGAAAGCGUGGGGAGCAAACAGG